AAUAUUGCGCAAUGGGGGAAACCCUGACGCAGCAACGCCGCGUGAGCGACGAAGGCCUUCGGGUCGUAAAGCUCUGUCUAGAGGGAUGAAUUUUGACAGUACCUCUGGAGGAAGCCCCGGCUAACUACGUGCCAGCAGCCGCGGUAAUACGUAGGGGGCAAGCGUUGUCCGGAUUUACUGGGCGUAAAGGGUGCGUAGGCGGCCUUUUAAGUCAGAUGUGAAAGCCCACGGCUCAACCGUGGGAUUGCAUUUGAAACUGGAGGGCUUGAGUAUCGGAGAGGGUAGUGGAAUUCCCAGUGUAGCGGUGAAAUGCGUAGAUAUUGGGAGGAACACCAGUGGCGAAGGCGACUACCUGGACGAUUACUGACGCUGAUGCACGAAAGCUAGGGGAGCAAAC
This 397-nucleotide ribosomal RNA is filed under the name uncultured bacterium. RNAcentral's name for it is "partial 16S ribosomal RNA". It matches the Rfam family "Bacterial small subunit ribosomal RNA", at positions 360 to 773 of the family's 1533-position model. The record is from RNAcentral.